GGAGAGAUGUCCGAGCGGCUUAAGGUGCACCCUUGGAAAGGGUGUGUACGUGUUAAAGCGUACCGGGGGUUCGAAUCCCCCUCUCUCCG
RNAcentral lists this transfer RNA (89 nucleotides) under Limihaloglobus sulfuriphilus. Its description in RNAcentral is "Phycisphaerae bacterium SM-Chi-D1 tRNA". It matches the Rfam family "tRNA". From Rfam's summary of the family: Transfer RNA (tRNA) molecules are approximately 80 nucleotides in length. Their secondary structure includes four short double-helical elements and three loops (D, anti-codon, and T loops). Lineage: Bacteria; Pseudomonadati; Planctomycetota; Phycisphaerae; Sedimentisphaerales; Sedimentisphaeraceae. The record is from Rfam by way of RNAcentral.